CUUAUCCAAGCUAAAUGGGCUGGCAGAACCUUAGAUAAGCGAAUAUCUUGGAUAAUAAGGAGGGAUUAAGGAAAAGCCUAUUAAACAUCAAAUUAGGUAAUGAUUUUACAAAUUAAGCACCAAAUAAUCAUGUUAUACAACAAAUUUUACAGAAAAAGUAGUUCAAUGCGCAGUAAUGUUAUGUUGUAAUUACUGUAUUUAUGAAUUUAGCACCAAAAUAUUAUGAUAUAUUGAAAAUAUUGACUACAAAAAUGGCUUGGAUAAUCCAGAACCUUGGAUAAGCGGAGCUUGGAUAAGCGAGACUCUAUUGUAUAUACAAUAUAUUAUAUAAUUAGUAUAGCAUAAUAUUAGUAUUAUAUAGUAUUAUAUUGUUAUAUUGACACAGGAGACAUGGUGGAAUGGUGUCUUCCUGGCCGCCCUUCUUCACUCUGGCCCCAGAGUGGCAGCUAGUCCUUGGGGGGAGGGGCUAACAUGCUGGCAAAGCAUCUUAAAUCUAUAUUAUAAUGGGAAUAAAAAAAGCUAGAAUAAAUAAAAGCUUAUGGUAUAAACCAUAGAAAGAAGGAGGUCUUGGACUUCCACAUCUCAAGAUGUAUUAUAACUCCAUUCAAAUAAAACAUAUAGUAGAAAGCUUUGCAAAACAAAAGAUUAGCCUUGCAGCUUCUAAGCUUGGCUGUAUCCUUCCUGGGAGAAUGAAUGUUAUGAGCAGAAAGAUGGAGUAGCCAUGGGGAGCCCUCUCAGCCUGGUCAUAACACAUUUCUACAUGGAACUCUUUGAAAAACAAGCCCUGGAAACAGCAACAAAAGAGCCCACUAUAUCAGUGGUUCUCGGCCUGGGGUCCCCAGAUGUUUUUGGCCUUCAAUUCCCAGAAUCCUAACUGCUGGUAAACUGGCUGGGAUUUCUGGGAGUUGUAGGCCAAAAACAUCUGGGGACCCCAGGUUGAGAAUCACUGCACUAUAUGGUUCAGAUAUGUGGAUGACACCUUCACCAUUUGGAGCCAUGGAAAAAAAGAACUAAAUAAGUUCCUGGACCAUUUCAACAGCAUCCACCCAAACAUCCAUGUGGAAAAAGAAAAUGAAGGAAAACUGCCUUUUUUAGAUGUCUUCGUCAUCUGUAAACCCAAUCAACAAUUGGGCUACACAGUUUACAGAAAACUUACAGAGAUAGAUAUCUACAUAAAAACUCCAACCAUCACCCAAGUCAAAAAAGAAGCACAAUCAAAGCCCUGGCAAACCAUGCAAAAAGAAUAUGCAAACCCCACCUCAACCAAGAUGAAUGGAAGCACCUCAACUGGGCUCUGCAGGCCAAUGGAUACUCCACUAUAGACAUCAGAAGAGCUGCAAGACCAAGAAGAAGCCACAGAGAGUAAAGACAACGAUUCCCCCAGAGGAAAAGUGUUCUUACCAUAUAUCAAGGGAACCACUGACCGCAUAGGGAAGCUGAUGAAGAACCUACAAACCUACAAACUAUCUACAGACCCACAAAGAAAAUCCAACAAAUACUACAUUUAACAAAGGGCAAGAGGGAUCCUUUCACCCCUGCAGGAGUCUACCAUAUACCAUGCAGCUGUGGACAAGUCUAGGGACCGCCAAAUGCAUUGCCCAAACAUGAGUCAAGGAACAUGAAAGGCACUGCAGACUAACUCAACCUGAGAAGUCAGCCAUAGCAGAGCACUUUAUGAACCAACCUGGACACAGCAUAUUAUUUGAGAAUACAGAAAUGCUGGACCACUCUAACAGCCACCAGGUCAGACUACACAAAGAAGUCAUUGACAUCCACAAACAUGUGGACAUUUUCAACAGACAGGAGGAAACCAUGAGAAUAAACAAAAUCUGGCUACUGGUAUUAAAAAUCUCUUAAAUCAGGACAGUACAUAAAGAACAACAUUCAAAAACAGGGGAAUUCAAGACAAAAAACAAUCAGGGCCAGCUAACACCACUCAACAAAGGAUUCCCCCAGGCAGGAAGCAGCCAAACUUAGAAGCUGCAAGGCUAUUCAAUGCUAAUGAAGGUGAUCAAUAGCAACAUUCACACCUGCCUCAAGCAGACAAGAGUUCUUUCUCCCACUUUGGACAUUCUACAGAUAUAUAAACCCCACUUGACUAGUUUUCAACAAACCUCACAACCUCUGAGGAUGCCUGCCAUAGAUGUGGGUGAAAUGUCAGGAGAGAAUGCUUCUAGAACAUGUCCAUACAGCCCGGAAAAAUCGCAGCAACCCUGUCAUACUAUUGCUUGUUCCUGGGUUAUAAAUGUCAUUUCCUAAUUGGUUCUAUCAUAAAUACAUGGAAAAGUUUAUUAAACUGCAAAAAAUUUGCUAUAGUUUUUCAAUGAAUAUCUCAGAGAGUCUCAACCUAUUCAACGUAGUUCAUUGCAGCCACAAAAAUGAAGUUUCUGGAGUACAACAUCUACUUUCAAAGUAAGUACUGUUGUAAAUUUACAUACAACAUUCUUCAAGCCUCCUCUAGUAAUGUGUUAAUCUAUGAUUUUGUUUGUUUACUGUUUUGUAUGUGUGUGUGUGUGUGUAUAUAUAUAUAUAUAUAUAUAUAUAUAUAUAUAUAUAUAUAUAUAUAUGCAGCUUCUUUUGCUCUAUGUUUCCUGAGAGGUUAUGGGAGGGACUGCAGACCACAUGAUCUGAUCUGAGACUGCUCAGACCUCAGACUCCAUUUUAGAUUCUUCUUAGACUUUGGGACUGCUCAGACCAACACAUGCUUGCUUGAGGUUUGUAAGAAAGAUGCCCUGUACCACCUGCACAGAGAAACUAUCUCAAACAUAUCUGAAACUGGACUGAUAAGCUGAACACAUGAAGGUUGUGAGUAAACCAAAUAUGUUAUUUUAUCAAAGCCUACUUCAUUUUUGUCUCUUGAGUGCAUGAUAUAAAACUAGUUGUUUUAUGGGAGAGUAGAUAUGUAUUUUAGGCAUUGAAAAACUCUUCUGAAACUCUGCUGUUUUAUGCACUGGAAAAUCUCUGUUUUCCUAACAAAUCAGAAAUAUGUUCAAGCUAACAACUGAAGACAUUGCCUUACAUACUACAUCUGGUUGAAUACCAUAUGAGAAGAUUCUACUCAAACAGGUUUUUGACUCUUCUCUAAAAGAUUAAACUUUUCCAAAAGGUUAUGAUCGCCAAAUGGGUGGGAAUGCAAUUUUCCAAAAAGUACUGCGCAAUUUAACAGGAAACAACACUUUCAAACCAGGAACAGAACAGUUUUCAUUUUUUGUUACAUAGUGUAAUGUGUUGUGUGCCUUCAAGUUACCCUUCCCUUACUUUCCCUUACUUUGAGGCUGAGAGAGUGUGGCCUGCCCAAAUUCAACAAAGAGAUUUCCAAGCCUGAUGGCAACUUGAACCCUUGGCUCCUGGCUACAAUACUCAAAGCAUUAGUCCUUGCUGGAUCUCUCUAGUUUGAGAUGGUCUAUAAAAGAAGUGUUGACUCCACUGAAUGAAAGAGUUCUGUUGGCAUGCUUUCUAUCUUCUGGGUUUCAGAGAGUGUGACUUGCUCAAGACCACUCAGAAGGCUUUCAUGACUGAGGCCCCUUCUACACUGUCAUAUAAAAUCCAGAUUAUUUUAUUUGAACUGAAUUAUAUGGCUGUAUAAACACAUAUAAUCCAGUUCAAAGCAAAUAAUGUAGAUGAUGUGUUUUGAUAAUUUGGAUUAUAUGGCAGUGCAGAAGGGGCCUGAGACGAGAUUUGAACCCUGAUCUUCUGAGUCCUAGUCCAACACAAUCAACUACACCACAUUGCUUCUCUGCAAAAUAAUGUAGCAUAAAUACUAAAGUUCCGAGGUAAUAAAAAUAUAGCACAACACACUUAGACUUACAUUGCUCUACAUUCCAGGAUCUGAUCCCAGAUAAUCUGUUUAUCCCAUAUUAUUAUUAGAUUCAUAUCAAGUUCAAAGCAGAUAUUCUGGGAUCAGAUAAAGGGAUAUAGGACAAUAUAGAUCCAGUCCCACUCAACAGUGGCCUUAAGGCUGUCCUCUCAUACAUACUUUUGACUAGAGAAAAAAGAUUUAACUUCAUUGGUCUUGUUUCUUUAUAACACAAAGAAUUGUACUGUCCAACAAUGUUCUACGUCCUUUUGUCUAGGUCAGUGCUUCUCAACCUGUGGGUACCCAGAUGUUUUGGCCUUCAACUCCUAGAAAUCCUAACAGCUGGUAAACUGGCUGGGAUUUCUAGGAGUUAUAGGCCAAAACACCUGGGGACCCACAGUUUGAGAACCACUGGUCUAGAUUCUACAGUGAUUUUAAUGUUGAUGGUAUUUAUAAGCAAUAUCUUAACAACCUAUUUCCAAAAUAAUGAGUGGUGCCAAACAGCAGGUUAGUAGACAAGGACUUGUUUGUUUCUGUAGACUUAAUGAGAAAAGAGAUCACUCUUUUAAAGAAUAGUGUUUAACAUUUUGUCCCUUUACAAUGAGUUUGUUGUUUUUGAUUAAAUUCGAUUUUCACAGGCAAAGUUAAUGACUAUUGUGUUUGGUUCCAUGCCAUUAGAUUCGGACAGCCAAAUAAUAGCAUGGCGAUUUUUACAGGUGAGUUUUCUGCUGGAGCGAGUCUUACUGCAACCCCACUGAGAUACCACAGGGCUUUCUCUGUAGCAGCACUUCGACGGUGGAACUCCCAGCCAGUGGAAGUUAAGCUUCUCCCACCUCUUCUGCAUUAAAAAGGUGUUGUUCUGCAAGACCCUUCGGCUUUAAAAUUGUUCUGCUCAUAUCGUUUUAAAUUAUUUUAAAGGAGUAUUUAAACAAGGUAUCUCUGUAUUCUUUUUUGAUGCUUUUGUCCAUUGCAUGCAUUGUCUCGAAGGCCCUGAUGGGCUGAGAGGCAUUAUCUAUAUCUCUAUCUAUCUAUCUAUCUAUCUAUCUAUCUAUCUAUCUAUCUAUCUAUCUAUCUAUCUAUAUGUAGUGUGCGCUUCUCCCAUGGAGCCAACAACAAAACUAUUGAGCCAAAUCAUACCAAAUUUGGCCGCAAAAGACAUAGUCAUCCAAUCUAUGUCUUUCAAUAAAAGAACCUAGAAAAAUAAAUUCCAAAUUACAGAGGACGAGGAAGAGUCGUUCUCCCUCUGGCUGCCAGUCAGAAGGAUAAGGCCCUGUCUUCUUUAGGCCCUACCUCCUAGACCCCAUCCCUUCAUGUCAUAGCAACCCCCUCAGCCACAAUGCCACUCGGGGGACAGGCAGCUUUCACUUAGGCCUCUUUGACACUGCUUAUAAAAUACAGAUUAUCUGAUUUGAAUUGGCUUAUAUGGCAGUGUAGACUCAAGUCCCUUCCACACAGCUAUAUAACGCAGAAUGCCAAGGUAGAUAAUCCAAAAUAUCUGCUUUGAACUGGAUUAUCUUGAGCCCACACGGCCAUAUAAUCCAGUUCAGUGUGGAUUUUAUACAGUUGUGUAGAAGGGCCCUCAUAUUUGAAGCUUUGAAGCUGAAAAGCCAUUAUGUGCUAAUCAUUCUGGCUAAUUGCAGCAUUCAUACUUGCCUCCAACAGACAUCAUCAACAACAAUAGCAACAACAGCAACAACAGCAACAGCACUUUAUUUAUAUUCUGCCCUAUCUCCCCAAGGGGACUCAGGAUGGAUCACAGAACACAUACAUGGCAAACAUUCAAUGCUGUUCAGACAGACAAACAGAACAGGCAGAAGUGAGGUAUGUUGUAUUGAGGUUUAGCUUCAGUGUCUUUGAGGUUGUACGAGGAUUCAGCUACAGUAGGGUGCUUUUGCUCUGUUCUCUAUGACUAAAAGCCAUCAGGACUUCCUCUUUCUUUAUGGUGACUGGCAUUUCUGGUCUUUUACUUUUAUGGUGUCAUAAAAUACCUCCCCCACUUAAUUAGCGGUACCUAAUUUCUCUACUUACAGCUCUAAGCUGUUUUCGAACUGCUUAGGUAAACAGUGAGCUGGGCUUGACAGUCGGGUGUUCACCCCGACUGGGCUUCGAACUGGCCACCUUUCGGUUGGUAGAUCUUAUUACUGCCGGUGAUUUACCAGCUGUGCUAACUCCCAGGCCCAAAAGACAAAAAAAGGAACAACCAGAAUUAUUGUAUAUUCACAAGCUUUAGGAAAUAACCUUAACUACCACCAAUUCCUCAAUACUUUAUUUCCCAUACCACCACACUUUGUCACAGCAACACUUGGCCAGGCACAGCUAGUGCCUUAUAUAAAUAAACAAUAAAUAUUUCAACUAGCAACUUGCAACUGCUAGGCAAGAUCCUGACAUGUAAGCCAUUAAAUCCAUCUGAUGACAAGUAGAAAGAUGAACAGCACAGUCUUAUAUUUCUUUACCUAAAACCCAAACCUGUUGUUUGAGGAGGCUUACUGCUAGGUGUAGUUUUAGGAUUGCUUCUAGGAUUUCAAGUAAGCAUCAGAACGAAAUGAAGUUCACAGGAAAUAAUUUCCCCGGUAGAUCAUGUCCACAAUACUCACGUAAAUCAUGUCAAGGGAUCAAAAUGCUUCAUAUCUACAGUAGAGUCUCACUUAUCCAACAUUCGCUUAUCCAACAUUCUGGAUUAUCCAACACAGUUUGCCUCCUGCCCCGAUCCACAGCUGUUUCUCUAGGCAGCAAGGAUUGAACUUUUUAUGGAUUGAUCAUGUUGCUACUGUAAGUUCGUUUUAUGCAAUUCUAUCUUUAUUUGUAGUCAGUGUGUUAGUAGCCAAUGCUUUUGUAGUCAAUGUUUUCAAUAUAUUGUGAUGUUUUGGUGCUAAAUUCAUAAAUACAGUAAUUGCUACAUAACAUUACCGUGUUUUGGGCUGCUCUUUCUGUCAAUUUGUUGUAAAACAUGAUGUCUUUGUAAAAUCAUAAUGUAAUUUGACAUUUAAUAGGCUUUUCCUUAAUCCCUCCUUAUUAUCCAACAUUUUUGCUUAUCCAACGUUCUGCCAGCCCGUUUAUGUUGGAUAAGUGAGAUUCUACUGUACUUCUGAAGUCUUCCUCAAUUUGAAACUCCCCUGGUGUGGACUAUAGUGCUCACAAUCCUCAAUCAGUAUGAUGAAUGUGGACAAUGGAUCCAACACCUAUAGAGUUUGUGGGUGUUGCUUUAGGGGUUGUGUUUAUGUGUGUGUCAAAUGGUAGGCCCUGUAUUUUUCUCUCCAUACAACAAUAAGGAGAUGCCAAAAUAACUUGCAGUAACUUGCAGAAUCCAAGACUUUCUGCAUCAUACAGUACAGCCCUUCAUGGCCUAUGGAUUCAGAUAUAAAUUCCAGUGGAAUGAAAGGGACUUAAUAAAUAUACCUGAAAUUGCUGCUGCUCAGUCAUUUAGUCGUCUCUGACUCUUCGUGACCUCAUGGACCAGUCCACGCCAGAGCUCCCUGUCGACUGUCACCGCCCCCAGUUCCUUCAAGGUCGACCCAGUCACUUCAAGGAUACCAUCCAUCCAUCUUGCCCUUGGUCGGCCUCUCUUCCUUUUUCCUUCCAUUUUCCCCAGCAUCGUGAUAUUUUCCAAGCUUUCCUGUCUCCUCAUGAUGUGCCCAAAAUACUUUAGCUUUGCCCUCCAGUGAGCAGCCGGGCAUUAUUUCCUGAAGGAUGGACUAGUUGGAUCUUCUUGCAGUCCAAGGCACUCUCAGGAUUUUCCUCCAGCACCAGAGUUCAAAAGUGUCUAUCUUCCUUUGCACAGCCUUCCUUAUGGUCCAGCUCUCGCUUCCAUAGGUUACUAUGGGGAAUACCAUUGCUUUGACUAUGGGGACCUUCGUUGCCAGUGUGAUGUCUCUGCUCUUCACUAUUUUGUCCAGAUUGGCCAUUGCUCUCCUCCCAAGAAGUAAACGUCUUCUGAUUUCCUGGCUGCAGUCUGCAUCUGCAGUGAUCUUAUGGCCAAGGGCCACAAAAAUAAAAUGAUUCACUUGUGACUUUGAGAACCCCCCUGUCAAUAUUACCAGUGACUGAGAGGGUUCGAGGAAUCCUAAUCCAAAAAGGGAGGAUAAAAAGGGAAUAUCAUUCUUAUUAGUCCCAAUAUCCUGCUCUGCUUAAAGAGAUCAGAGAUCCCCCAUUUGCAGAUCUGAGUUCUUCCACCUCCCUUUUCUUCCUCCUCCUUUUCUGCACACACAUUACAUUUCAGUCAUGCUUUGCAGCAGAACACGAUAUCCCCCAAAGAACCCAAACGAAAGAGAGAGAUACCCUGACAGCAACCAUUAGUUAAGAAAAAGCCCUCGCACAAGAGUAUCAGCACUAAUUAAGAUUCUGUUUAGCAGCCCUGGAUGGAAUGUUAAUGUAAGCAGGGAAGGGGGGUGAGGGAUGUUUUUUAAAGGCCCAGAAAACUCCUGCUUCUAAAGAGGAAUGCUGGGUUUGGGUGAUAACAUCUAUUGCUUGUGUCCAAGGUCUGCCCAAGCCUGUUAGAAAGUCAUUAUCUCAAAUUACUCCUGUACUUCAUUUUCUUUCCUUUCCUCCCUCUCCAGGGUUUGGGGCUGGGCUGAGCUCCCUUGGUGUUGCAGCCAGGCCUGGAGCCUUUGCAAAAACCAAUACUCUCUGAGGGGAAUGGAGAAGCUGAAUCGACCUUCUCUCUCUUUCUCUCUUUCUCUUUCACCUCCCUGCUGCCUUGGAACAUUUGGCUUGCUGUCCUUGCUCCUUGGACAAAUACAGCCCCAAAUUGCUGCAACCUGAUUAGGAUCUCUUUGCUGGCGUCUCAGCCUAAAAUCCCCAGGGCCUUUGCUGACCCUUUUGAAGCUCCUUCCUCUUUUGCUUACACAGAAGUUGACAUAAUUAAGGCAGGGUUUUACAAGGCUCAACAAGGCAAAUCUAGUCAGCUCCCAACACUCAACAUGUUGGAAGUGGGGGUGGAAGAAAAGCAGGGGGUGGAAAGGCCCAGGUUGAGCUGCUGUUCAUUGCAUGGCAGAAUUUUUCACCUUGCUCCUUUCUCUCAAAGGUGGUGAAGAGUAUAUUCAUAUUUAGUUAUUCCUUUUUAAACUGAGGGUUGCUUGAGUCAUAUAAACGAAGGCUGCUGCAUGCAGUUACGUUAUCAAACAUUUCAAGAUGUCAAAAUCUUUGAAAAUUGAUGCAAAAUGUGUUCCUGAGUGUCAGAAAAACUUGAUGAGAAGAAACCUGGAAUGAAGAGAAUCGUCACACUUAUUCUGCAUAAAAUUCACACAUGUCUUAUCUUUUCAGAAGCUGUUCUGGGUAAAAUAAAAACGUACACUCUCCUGUACUAAUUUGCUUUGAUAAAAUCUGUACCUCCUUUCCCACACAA
Anolis carolinensis (green anole) is the source of this 9137-nucleotide long non-coding RNA. RefSeq lists it as uncharacterized. Lineage: Eukaryota; Metazoa; Chordata; Lepidosauria; Squamata; Anolidae. The record is from RefSeq and is a predicted model, not a curated record. The transcript is spliced from 2 exons.